UCAGAAGAGCAACAUGUUCCGUGGCGCACAUUUCUUAUGAGUCAUUAACUCGCUAGUUUCUUGUUGGAGCUGCAAGGAGUUUGACAGACUGUGGAAAUAUUAAUCUCAUUUAUCAUGGAUUUCUAAACAAAGUUGUAAACAGAGUUGAAACCCAGGACACGGCCUCAGUCUGUUUGUCUCGGUUCACUGCUUCCAUAGCAACUUCUGCCAGGACUAUUGCAAGUUAAUUUAUUACAAUCCCCCCCCCCCCAAAAACAUCACAAGGAGAGCAACAGUGCACCUGCCAGACUAGGCUGCUGGAAAACAGUCUGUACAGAAAUAUGCUGUAGGCCUCAUAUAUGGAGCUUUGAUGCAAAAUGUUUCUUUUCAAAUCUUCCCUCUGGUGCAUCGUCUUCAGCCUGUGUUCGUCAGCCUGCGGCUUGGAGUUCAUAAAAUAUGACAGGGAUGCAGUUAUUUGCCAACAGGCAUUUUCUGACUGCACCAUCAGAAACGGUCUUUAUGAACAAAACGACAACCAUGUUCAGUUUGAAGCAUCUUUCAAGCUCUGCUGUAAGGCCGAAAGAAACUGUACACUUUGUCUUGUGCUAGAGACAGAAAUCAGCAACAUCCCUAUGGAUAAAGAUGUGGAAAACGACAACCACUCUGGCACUGAUGAGGAAGAUGACAAUGAGGACACAACACUUGAGAGAUCUUCUGUGAUGGCAUGUUACCAUGAUCCAGCCAGCACCAUGCCCGGAUGCAAGAAGGUGGAGUUUACAGUUAAUUACACCACUCUUGCUCACCAGAACAGUAGCAAGAUAACCAUUGUGAUCACAGACAAGUUUCAUUUUGGAAGCCAAAUAACCGUUUACCCCAACAUACGACUUGAUGCACCUUCGGAACUGAAUGUGUGUUCCCAGGAAUCCUUCCAGCAACGCAUACCCAUGUGUCCAGUGCCAAAGUUCCGCAUCGAUCCAGUUUUCAAGGAAAAUUAUGUUGAGCUGCUGAUUGAGGGCAACAAUUCCCGUCCCUCACUCUGCAUCAAAUACGAGGAGAACGGACGCUGUCUGAGUUUGGCCCAGACCACCAUCCCCAUUCAUUCUGUGGCACCUUGCAUGUGCAUACAGGUAUGGGAUAAAGAUGAUGAGGGAGCUGUGCGUUCUCAAUUAUGCCACUUUGACAAAAUAGUUAAAGGAUCGCCACCUCCUUUACAACACUUAAUGUCGAAAAACGUCUCGGUGAAUGUGCGCCUGAGCAAAAUGGGUGACAGAAACACAGUGCUUUUAUGGAACCUCACUGCCCCCUGCAGGCUGGAUGGUGAAGUGUCGCUUUGUCUCAAACCGAGCAGCAGCGAAAAUCUUGCUGGUGUGAGCAACUGGAAACAAAACAGUAUGGGACUUUGGGUAAAACAAGGAGCAUUUGAAAACGUUGAUGAAAGCAUUUCCCAGUGUGUUAUGGUGAAAAUAAACAGAACACAUCAGGAAUUUGGUCCAUUUUGCACGUCUGACACUAGCAGAUGGCGCUGGACUCUCCUGAUUGUCGGUGUUUUGCUGGUUGGUUGUCUGACAGCAUUAAUGAUUCAUUUCCUGCGUGAUUAUGUGAAGAAAUGGGUGUGGAGCUGGCAGCACGGUGGAUUCGUAAGGAUUGGCAGGAAGGGCCAUGUGGUUCUGCUGAGCCCCCCAGAUUUGGAUGACACUGUUUCAGAGUCAGUUUGUCUGCUGGGUUCCCAGCUCUGUAGCCAGGGCUUCAGUGUGUCUGUGGAUCAGUGGUGCAGGAAGGAUCAAUGCACAAUGGGACCUCUGCCAUGGCUCUACUCCCAACUCCAGAAGCUGGACAACAUGGGUGGUCGGGUUUUGCUGGUUCUCACCCAGAAAGCCUUAGAAAAAACUGAAGAGUGGACCCUCUUGAACAACAACGGAGAAGGAAGGGAUCAGCAACAGAUGAAGUCACCUUAUUCUGAUCUAUUUACGGCCUCAUUGUUCAUCAUUCAGGCCCACAAGAGGCUGGGCAGGGUGGCCGAGCGCUUUGUUCUGGUGAAAAUCGACUCCCACCAAACACAGAGUCACAGCAGCGACGGGAGACUUCCAGAGCUGCUUCAAGGGCUUCCUCUGUUUCUGCUUCCCUCUCAGAGCCAGUCGCUCACAGCUGAACUGAUUGUAGAAGAGGCAGAAACGACAAGGAUAAGCUGGAGGAGGAAUAUCUGAAGCAAGUGGAGGUUAUCAAAACCAUUUUGUUAAAACACCGUGGAUGAAUUUACAAAAAGACGUCAUAUAAAAAAUACUGCUGCAGAAUCAACAUGAAGGAUAUGCUUAUCUGGACUGAACAGUCUUUGGUUUGUAAAGAAGUAGUCCUGAAUUGUGAAAGUGAGGUUCUGGUGCCAGAUUUUAGGCAGUUAUCUUAGAUAUCUUAGAGUUGCAUCAGACAACUAUUUUGGGUUCUUUAUUUAGUAUAAAGCCAGGUUAGUUUGUUCUAUUGACCAAAUCUAAAGACUUGAUUGACAGAGACCAAAUCCAUAACAGAAUUUGGCCAUCUUAAAAGAACUUAAAUCUUUAAACCUCUAGGUCAAUUUAGAUUAUUUCUGUUUCAUGAAUCUUUUAAAUUGUCCUCAUUUUGUACUGGCCUGUUAUUUAUAGAGAAGGUGAUGGUUAUCUAACCAGGAAGUGAAGGUUGUAGGUAGUGUGCCUUAAAUGAUGUUCCUGUGUGAAGUUAGUACAGAGAAAAAAGCUAAACACAUUUUUUUCAGUCAAAGUAGUUUCUUAAUUGUGUAAAAAGUGAAAUGUGUAAACAUUUAAGUACUUAAACAGCUAUAGUACUAUUACUUUUAGUCUACUUGUAUAGAUGACAGCUACUCUGACUGAAAAUGCUUUCAUGCUCCAGUUUUUGUACUUUUCACACAGGAUGGUCAUUGGUGGCACACUGUCUCUUACCUUCACGUUCUGUGUAAUUAAAAACCAGCUUUUGUGUAAAUAACCCACCAAUGCAAACAUAAUGAUGGUCUAAGCCUAACAAAUUAGCGUUCCCUCAAAAUGUUAUGACACUUUGAGAUUAAAUUUGUUGCAGGAUGGUGUGCUUUGCUACUGGCCCUUCUUUAAGGGGCUUGCUUCAUCCUCCAGGACCAACUAUUUUGGAUUUAUACUAAAUUAACUACUACGAUUUUCUACAAGUAUAAUAACUGCUUACAACCUCUUCACAGAACCUCAUUUCAGUUACACAACCAGUGCUACAAUAAUGUUAUAAUGUAAUAUUCUUUCUUUAAAGAAAGACUGUGUUUUGGUCUUCUCUCAAUCCUUUGCUGAAAAUCUGAAAUAUGUUCCUGAAGCAGGUGACGUGCAGCGUCAUGAAUAAAUCUGAAGGGCAAUAAGCACAUAAAUAUGUAGACAGGUAAAUUGUAAUUUAUGGCUUCUAUUUUUAUUGUAAAUAAAUUGUAAAUAGGGAUAUUUUUUUUACUCAUCUAUGAAUACUAGCUUCAAAGCUAUAACAUAACCUAAUCGUAAAUUUUUCAAAUUGUAAAUAAUAAUCAAAUUAUUAUUAUGUAAUAUAAUAGAAACAGUCUUUAUUGUCCUGCAAAGGGGAAAUUGAAGUGUUUACACAAAAAGUUCUUAAAGUGUUUAAAACGAUAUAUAAAGAUUGAUAAUAAUAAUAAUAAUAAUGAUACACUGUACAAGACUAUAACAGAAAGCUUCACGUCUUUUAACUUAAACAAAAUAAAACUACUGGUCAUGGCGCAGUAUAUGAGCCAGUCACACUUAGCUAAAAAUAAACUUGCGACCUAAAAGCGCUUAACCAGUUGCAGAGGAUCUUAUUGGUUCAGAGCAGUGUCAGUUUCAGAGAUGCGUUUGUGAAGAGUUUUUAUGACGAUCCGGGAGGGCGGUGUUAGGAGAUAUAAGUGAUAACAACGAGCCCCGCUCCCUUCGGUGGUUUGGAUGUGAUUCGCAGUCAAAUAGUCAGAGUAGCAAGUCAAAAGCGUCUCGUUUGGAUUGUGUGCUUGACUUGUGUAAGGAGGAGGUAAAAAGACGCUCUGUUGUGCUUAAAGUGUUUUCUUAAAUUCACUUUCUGUUGACUGUGUGUGUUGUUUAGCUAUCAGUUUGGCAGAAAGUUAAUAUUUGUCUUUAUUUUGAGAUUUUAAUUGUAGGCACUGGUUUUUUAUUUAUAUAUUUCAUGCAAUUUCUGAUAAGCCAAAGGCAAUUGUGUUAUAUUGCGCAACUCUAUUGUUUACAAGUACUGUUAUAAAUACUAUUGCUGUAUUGAAGAUCUAUUUCUUAAAUAAAAAAGGGGAGCCCAGAAUGUC
Xiphophorus couchianus (Monterrey platyfish) is the source of this 4267-nucleotide RNA transcript. It is a transcript of the gene named interleukin 17 receptor C, with no coding region annotated. The record is from RefSeq and is a predicted model, not a curated record. Lineage: Eukaryota; Metazoa; Chordata; Actinopteri; Cyprinodontiformes; Poeciliidae. The transcript has 16 exons.